CUACCACCCAGCCUGAAGGUGUCAGAGGAAAACAGUACAUGGGGUCAAUUUUUAUCAUCUCUCAUCAAAUUCAGAAUCACAGAUGAACCAAGCCCCACACUGCUGUCCUGGAGGCCUGAUGAUUUUGCAGGAGGCUGUGCUGACUGCCUGUACAUCCAGCUGCUGCCUGCUCCCCCCUCCUUGAACAAGAAGCAGGGAAAACCAGCAGGCGCUGAGGUCUGUGUGGCUGUAGCUGGACAGUUACCGAUGCUGGAGUCUGCAAGACUUCUGCUGAGGCACGGCACACUCCUGGGAGCAUCCCUCCCAGGGGAAAAUCUGGUCUUUUGGGAGAGCUGCCAUGAGGCAGGGAUGGGCUCCCCCUCCCCUCUGUCUCUCCUUUUACCCUUCCUUUGGGUAAGGUUAUGACAGCGGAUGACAAAGAAGCUGCGGAUGCUUGUUGGUGCUGUGCUGUGCUGUGCACUGACGCUGGCGCUCGGUAGUGCAGGAAGGCCUUUUCUUCCAGGCCUUUGCAUUUGCAAUUUGAAUUUAAUCCCGUGAGCUAAAGAUAGCUCUGGCUCGCCUAUUGUUCCUCCAGCUGGCAACAGCUUUAUUUCUUUGAUGCUUUCAGUUCUCGGUUGUUUCCAAGGAACUGGCAGAGACACUUUUAAUACAGAGCCUGUCCCAGCCCUGUAUCACGCCGACCACUGCAUUCACCCUCCUGGCCCUCCCUUUGGUGCUCUGCCUCCCGCUGGCGAGGUCUCCCGCAGGGGCUGCAAGUCUCCUUCUUGCUGACACGAGCUUUGUCUGCACAUACCCAUGAUAUCACCCCCCACAUCCCCUGGCUGGCUUCAGGGCUGCUCUGCAAUGGCUCCUCCAGGAGCUGGAGUCUUCCUCGGGAACAGACCUUUCACGAAAGCCUUGCUCGGGAGCUUUCUGUGUCGCAUCAGCUGAGGAACUGCAUGCUCUGCAAGGUCACUGAAUGCAUGUUUGUCUCUCAAGUAGUCUGAACAAUGAUUUGAAGUGAAUUAAUGUCAGUAAGCUCUCAUCUCUGAUUGCUUAGGUUUGUAUUUGGUGUAUGUGCAUCACACAUGUAUGUAUCAUAUGUAUCAUACAUGUUGUGCUGUGUAUGUGAUUUGACGCCUUCUAAUUUCAGGGACAAAAACUAUGUGCUUUUCCAAGAACUGAAUUUGGGACUGUUCCAUGCUAAUUCAUGUUGUUAAUUAGCUAUAGCAGGCAGCCAAUAAAGCAACAUAAAUGAUUUCAGGUUCCUUAGGAAAUAUGCCAAUACAAACGCAAAUACCGAUUUAGAUGUGGAAUUUUUGCAGCGCCUCUCAGUGAAACUCAUUCAUUAAAUUAAAUAAACGCGAAAUGGUUGCAGGCUGCUGAUGAACAGUUUGUGAACUGGAAAAGGGAGCACACUGGAUCAGUAAAUCCCUCCUUGGGCAUAUCAGCAGCUCUCAUCCCACCGGCAGGAAGGGUGGGGAGAGCCGUGCCUCGCUGAGGGCAGCAGCCAGCCUCCCAGCACCGCAAGCUGCAGCGGAGAUUUCCUGGCUCUGGCAGGAAGCGCUGCUGGUUCGUACCGCUGGCGUGCCGCCCAAAGGCUUGCCUGCUGUCAUAAGGCACAGAGCUGCAAGGAACUGCGUGGGAGAUGAAUUAAAAAAAGAAGAAGAAGAAGAAGGAAAAAAUAAAGUCAGGUUCCAGAAGUGUUCAACAGGGACACUUCCUUUCCCACAGAAGAAAAAGCCGUUCCUAUGUGCAGGCAAUAUUGCAGAAAUCGAACACAGCACAAGGGGAAAUCUGCUUCUGGGCUCCCAGGCAAACUAAGGGGAGUAUCUGCAGCCUAUUCCCCCUUUUCUGGAGAUCAUCCUAGUGCCACAGAAGACUGCAUCUGAGUGAAUUAUAUAAAUACUGCUUUUAAAAGACUUUUCUCCCCUCAACCCUGCCCCAGUUCCUGGUUUGGCACAGAAUGGGGAAUCUCAAAUGAAAGCACUCUGCAGUAAAGCACCAACUGUUUGGAAAACUGGCUGUGCAGGAGUGGAAGGAGUGCAGAUAUUGGGGAUCAGACACUUCAGCAGAAUGGAAGCAGAAUAUGAGAAGUUUUCCAAGAGUGGGUUACCAAGUGGCCUUAGGGACAAACGCCAAAAAUAUUAGUUAUGCUCUCAAUCAUGUGUGUCUUGGCCUUUGCAUGGCUUGCAACCCUAGGACUGGGAAUCGGAUCUCCCCCUGCAGCCUCUGGGACUUCUCCCACACAGCUGCUUGGGUGCUUUUCUCCAGGUCCCAGGCAUGUCAGACUGCGAGGAGCUUUAUUUUGUCCCUGAUGGCAAAGGAAGCAGACACAGGAAGUCUUGAUUGUCUUGAUACAGUUGUUGCUAAAUAGUUGUUCACAUCAGACACAAUUUCAGUAUCCCCAAGGUGCUCCAGGAAAUACGUGUACCUGUGCUUUACAGGUCACUGCUGUACUGAGUCCAUGCUAGGCCUGCAAGUAUAUCCACCUGGCACCCCUUAAAAGAAAAAUAACACACUGAAGCAAUUUUUUAUCAUCAAUAUUACACAGGGUAACUAAAGCCUUUGUGGUCGGACUUCAGUCUGUGAUCACUAGCAGGCACAAAAACUUAGCGGAAAAGGACAUGUCUGACAGAAAGAAAAAUAAGGGUCUUCUCCCUAUUGGGAGCCUUGAGGAAGACAUUAUAUUUGAGGAGCUAGUGACAUUGAGCAAGCCAUGUCUGCUUUACUGGGGCCUGUCCUGGGGAGGCUGCAGACCCAUGUACGCAGCAACAUGAGGGAAAAUGCUGAGAUGGAUAUUGGUGUCACUGGUGGUGUGCUCUGGCAGACAUCCUGAAAGACAGAGUGUCCCUACCUGUCGGAAGAAUAUAAUAUGAUUUUUUUUGUCAUGUGAGGUUAAAGGCACCAUGCUACAGGAGGGAGACCCAUCCCCUCACUGAUGCAAUCUGCAGUCUGUGCUGUGGCUAUUCAGCUGGAGGCCAACCGAUGCAGCACGUAUGUGGGGUUCCCAGCAUCUGAAAGGACAUAAUAAUUACUUUAUCUUUGUAUUCCUCUUCUUAUUUUAUCUUAUUAAUAAAGCAAUAUCAUCAUUA
This is a long non-coding RNA of Falco peregrinus (peregrine falcon), 3074 nucleotides long. RefSeq lists it as uncharacterized. NCBI's taxonomy places the organism in Eukaryota, Metazoa, Chordata, Aves, Falconiformes, Falconidae. The record is from RefSeq and is a predicted model, not a curated record. The transcript has 2 exons.